UUUGCAGAGUCUACCUCCUACUUGGCUGGCUGCCCAACGGAAAUAUCUUGUAGCUGAUUUGCCUUAUUCAAAACCCUUUGGUUUAAACCUUUCAGUCAAAUCUUCCCUUAACCUUUACGUUCUAAUUUUUAAAAUUAUCCCGAUUACCUCUCAUGACUAAGGACAUCCCUGAUAUUAUCUCAGUGAUCUUUUCUGCACUUGAUUUAUUUCCUAAAUCUGCCCAAAGCUGGAAAUAGUAUGUGAACUGAACACAUAAUUUAUCUUGGUUUGAACUCUUUCUGGUUUUGUGCAUUAUAUUGUGAUUUACAAACCCUAGAACUUGUAUUCCUGUCCUACACAAAUGAAAGCCAUGGUCUAUUAUUGAGUGGAAUUCAUAUCUCCCCGUUUUGGCACAAAGGUCAACCCUGUAUCCAGUUUGCAGGUAAAAACUAAUUUCUCUUAACUUGUUUUAUUCCAUCAUGGGAUGUGGUCAUCGCUGGCUGGGUCAGCAUUAAUUGACCAUCUCUAGAUACCCUUGAGAAAGUGGCGGUGAGUUACCUUACUGAACUGCUGCAGUGCAUGCGCUGAAUGGUUGUGAGAAUGGCACGUGAUAAGUUGGGGCGGAAAUCGGCCUUGAGACACAUGAAUUAACGAGACAAAUUUGUUAAGAUACGGCAAGACAACUCAUUAGGCCUUGUGGUGGCAAACCCCCACCCCUCCCAUAAAACUGGACGCCACUCAGAAUUAGCCCUAAUAACCAUAAGAUUCAGCCUACUAUUCCUUAUAAAUUACUCAGGACAGGAAUAAGAUCGGUGCGAAUGGCUGAAAGGGGCAGUUGCUUAAGAUUUCAUCUGAAAGACAACGCCCUCAGUGAAACAGCAUUCCCUCAACACUGCACAGGAGUCUUGAUUUUAGAUUUGAGCCUGGAACGUGAGACUCAGAGGUCAAAAAUGAAGAUUUGGUGGCACGGACAGGAGGUUGCUGUGUCAGGGUCCAAUGGAUGAAAGGGACGGGGAGUAUUUGUGUACAUUGAAAAGAAGAAGUUGAUGCAUCUAUGAUUUCCCAACAGCUUCUGGGUCAAAACCAUACGUUUUCAGACUGUUACCCAUCAGUAUUAUCACUAUGUGCAGUUGUUGGAAGCUGCGCAUAUGUGGAUCUCGCGUGAAAAUAAGGUUGCAUCCAGCUCUGAUGCCUGCUAUGGGGCAAUGACCUCUUAUGGCUUGUACACGGAAAAUAAUUGCUGGGAGUUUAACUAAAAGGAGACGUGUUCAGUACAGUUUACUCCAGUAAGUUAAAAAUGCCUCAGACCUAAUAAGAGGGCAUGCUACACGUGCAAUUGUGAGGGUCUUUAAGUCAGUUACACUGAACAGUCCAAUGCACUUACAUUUAAAUCCAAAAUAAAAUUUGCAUUAAUUAUGUCAUUAAAUUUACAUUUGAAAAUACUUAACAAACGACAGACUUUUUUUUACUCAUGCAGAAACACACUGUUUAUAAGAUGAGAUGGGUUUGAACUCGAGAAUAUGCACAAUUAUCCACACUCAAUUUCAUACGUAAGCCUGCAAAUCAAAAUAUUCACUUCAAACUCACAAAAAAAAUUCCAGAAGGGCAAAGAAAAGAUUGACACAUCAUUAACAACUGUCUCCUCUGAAGACAAAGUAUGUUUGUCCCUAACCCAGUACCUUUUCACUGAGAGAACUGAAUCUCUUCAGUGCAAGGUCAUAACGAAAGAAUCAAUGACGUCAUUAGUCAUGUUUAAACUCCCAAACAUCUUUAAAGUUCUGCUGGGGUUUCAACAAUUCUAUAUUCAUUUCUAACUGCAUUGCAGCCUGGUUCUUAAUCAUACUUGUUACAAAUAUUUGAUCUUCAUAGGCACUGUUAUCCAGACUGUAUUUUUUCUGUGAUGCCAAUUGUCUCCCAAAUACAAUUCUCAAGAAUACAUACUCCUCUCAGUUGCAUGUUUUUCAUAACCUCUUAUUUGUUGCUGUAAACGAAGUAGGUUGCACUAGUAACUGUUUCCUCCAAAUUAUUGAAUAAAAUUUCCACACAUGUUC
Long non-coding RNA from Rhincodon typus (whale shark), 2030 nucleotides. RefSeq lists it as uncharacterized. The record is from RefSeq and is a predicted model, not a curated record. NCBI's taxonomy places the organism in Eukaryota, Metazoa, Chordata, Chondrichthyes, Orectolobiformes, Rhincodontidae. The transcript has 3 exons.